Molecule: long non-coding RNA, 578 nt
Organism: Grammomys surdaster
Lineage: Eukaryota; Metazoa; Chordata; Mammalia; Rodentia; Muridae
Exons: 2
Source: RefSeq, a predicted model, not a curated record
UCGCACUAGAGUUUACUAAAGUUUGAGCUUGGGACACUGCCAUCACUGACACAGCAGAGCAGGAGGGUGAAGCUGAGCUCUCGGUGGGACAAGGUUUUAUAGGCUAUGAUUGCAGACCAUUAAGCUCCAGACGGUGGUAUUGUCUCCAGAAUAACAACCAUUAUAAUCAACACGUACACCUGGCUCCUACCUUUGAGCACCUCUUGACCUCCAACCAAUGUUUCAGUUCAGCCUCCAACCUCAUACAAUAACCACAUUGCCUCUCUGAAAAUGCAGCUCAAGCUUUUGAUGCUGUAUGGUCUAUGGUGGUUAGCACCAAUGUCAACUUGACAAGGUCUAGAAUCAUGAGAGGAGCCUGGGAGCUCUUCCUGUCCUGCGUUUCAUUUGCCAAAACCUGAGCAAGAAAAGCUGGCCAUGUGAAGAGGCCAGUGCUCUGUGAGAGAAAUGUCCUUCUGAAAGGGUUCUGUGCCUCGAGGCCAGCACUUGGUGGGGGGGUGUCUCCCUUCCCAGUUCAUACCCCGCGUCUAUUCCUGGGAAUGCUUCUUCUUUCUUCCUUUUAUUAAAUUACUGUUUUCUUU